Molecule: ribosomal RNA, 213 nt
Filed under: Dasynini sp. CMF 0065
Lineage: Eukaryota; Metazoa; Arthropoda; Insecta; Hemiptera; Coreidae
Description: partial large subunit ribosomal RNA
Source: RNAcentral
UAAGUCUGUUCGACUUUUGAAUCUUUACAUGAUCUGAGUUCAGACCGGCGUGAGCCAGGUUGGUUUCUAUCUGCAAUUUUGUAAUUAUAAUUUAGUACGAAAGGACCAGUUAUAAAUAAUAAUUAUGUUAUUUUGAUUAAUAUUAAACUAUUUUGGCAGAAUUGAGUGCAAUAAAUUUAGAAUUUAUAAAUGUAAUUUUUAUUACAAAUAGUA